Molecule: long non-coding RNA, 1075 nt
Organism: Lagenorhynchus albirostris (white-beaked dolphin)
Lineage: Eukaryota; Metazoa; Chordata; Mammalia; Artiodactyla; Delphinidae
Exons: 3
Source: RefSeq, a predicted model, not a curated record
UAUAAAGCAGAAACUAACACACCAUUGUAAAGCAAUUAUACUCCAAUAAAGAUGUAAAAAAAACAAUUCCAUUCACAACCAUCAAAUAGAAUAAAAGAGGAAUAAAUUUAAGGAGAUGUAAGACUUGUACAAUGAAAAAUACAACGCAUUAUUGAAAGAAACUAAAGAAGAUCUGAUGAAAUGGAAAGUCAUCUCAUGUUCAAAACAUUUAUGGAUGUAUGUCAAAGGUGCAUAGGAACAAACUGAAAGAGCUUGCAGUGGCCAGAGCUGGAGCUAUUUUAGCAACAAAUUGUGUUGGAUUAUAACUCAAGUGUAGUGUAAACACCCAUGAGUCUACACUGAUUUAAAUUAAUGAUUGAAUAAAUAAACAAAUGCGGGAGAAUAGACAAAUCUCCUGUGCAGAAGAAUUUGAAAUAAUUGAUGUAAAUACUCUAUCCUCAAGGAGAGUGAGCCUAACUCCCUACUCCUUAAGUAUGGGCUGUGCAUAGUGAGUUCCUGCCAAAGCAUACAGCAAAAAAGAAUAAUUUUACAGUGAAGUAAUCUGACUAAACUAUAUCAGCCAGGUUAUCAAGGUCAACAUUAACAGUAUGUACUUUCAUGUUGAAAGUACGUACCCUUGAUAUGAUGUGAUGAAAAUGGCAAUUUACUCUUUUGUCUUCCUUUCCCAAACUUAUGACCUCAGUCUAAUCAUGAAAGAAACAUCAGACAAUUUGCAAUAGAGGGACAUCUUACACAAUACUUGGCCAGUAAUUUUCAAAACUGUCAAGCUUGUCAAAAACGAGGAAAGUCUGAAAAGCAGUCACAGCCAAGUGGAGCCUGAGAGGACAUGACAACUAAAAGUAAUGUGGUUUUCUGUAUGAGAUCCUGGAACUGAAAAAAGGACAUUAGAUUUCCUGGAACAUUCCAGGCCAGCAGAGGAGCUCUUUCCUCCUAGAGAACAACUGCCCCUUGCAGACACCUCAUCUGAGGCUGAUGCUCUCCAGCCAGGAGGAUGGUGUCGAUUGCUGGGAGAUGUCGGACGGUGAAACUGAAGGACAGGACUGUGCUUCCACAGCAAGAAGGCAGAAGGCAGAAG